This 647-nucleotide ribosomal RNA is filed under the name Escherichia coli. RNAcentral's name for it is "partial 23S ribosomal RNA". It matches the Rfam family "Bacterial large subunit ribosomal RNA", at positions 612 to 1258 of the family's 2925-position model. Lineage: Bacteria; Pseudomonadati; Pseudomonadota; Gammaproteobacteria; Enterobacterales; Enterobacteriaceae. The record is from RNAcentral.
AUAAUGGGUCAGCGACUUAUAUUCUGUAGCAAGGUUAACCGAAUAGGGGAGCCGAAGGGAAACCGAGUCUUAACUGGGCGUUAAGUUGCAGGGUAUAGACCCGAAACCCGGUGAUCUAGCCAUGGGCAGGUUGAAGGUUGGGUAACACUAACUGGAGGACCGAACCGACUAAUGUUGAAAAAUUAGCGGAUGACUUGUGGCUGGGGGUGAAAGGCCAAUCAAACCGGGAGAUAGCUGGUUCUCCCCGAAAGCUAUUUAGGUAGCGCCUCGUGAAUUCAUCUCCGGGGGUAGAGCACUGUUUCGGCAAGGGGGUCAUCCCGACUUACCAACCCGAUGCAAACUGCGAAUACCGGAGAAUGUUAUCACGGGAGACACACGGCGGGUGCUAACGUCCGUCGUGAAGAGGGAAACAACCCAGACCGCCAGCUAAGGUCCCAAAGUCAUGGUUAAGUGGGAAACGAUGUGGGAAGGCCCAGACAGCCAGGAUGUUGGCUUAGAAGCAGCCAUCAUUUAAAGAAAGCGUAAUAGCUCACUGGUCGAGUCGGCCUGCGCGGAAGAUGUAACGGGGCUAAACCAUGCACCGAAGCUGCGGCAGCGACGCUGAUGCGUUGUUGGGUAGGGGAGCGUUCUGUAAGCCUGCGAAGGUG